GCGUCGGUGGUCCAAUGGUUAAGAUUCGACAUUCCCAUGAUCACUGCGGAAUAUAUCGAUAGUGUCAGCUUCUGACUAUGUCGAGACCCGGGUUCGAUUCCCGGCCGACGCA
The sequence is a transfer RNA, 112 nucleotides long. It matches the Rfam family "tRNA". From Rfam's summary of the family: Transfer RNA (tRNA) molecules are approximately 80 nucleotides in length. Their secondary structure includes four short double-helical elements and three loops (D, anti-codon, and T loops). The record is from Rfam.